CACGUAGGGUGCGAGCGUUGUCCGGAAUUAUUGGGCGUAAAGAGCUCGUAGGCGGUGUGUCGCGUCGGCCGUGAAAACCUGUGGCUUAACUAUGGGCUUGCGGUCGAUACGGGCAUCACUGGAGUUCGGCAGGGGAGACUGGAAUUCCUGGUGUAGCGGUGAAAUGCGCAGAUAUCAGGAGGAACACCGGUAGCGAAGGCGGGUCUCUGGGCCGAUACUGACGCUGAGGAGCGAAAGCGUGGGGAGCGAACAGG
Molecule: ribosomal RNA, 254 nt
Filed under: uncultured bacterium
Lineage: Bacteria
Description: partial 16S ribosomal RNA
Rfam family: Bacterial small subunit ribosomal RNA
Source: RNAcentral